Molecule: transfer RNA, 73 nt
Filed under: Ictidomys tridecemlineatus (thirteen-lined ground squirrel)
Lineage: Eukaryota; Metazoa; Chordata; Mammalia; Rodentia; Sciuridae
Description: Spermophilus tridecemlineatus (thirteen-lined ground squirrel) tRNA
Rfam family: tRNA
About the family: Transfer RNA (tRNA) molecules are approximately 80 nucleotides in length. Their secondary structure includes four short double-helical elements and three loops (D, anti-codon, and T loops).
Source: Rfam by way of RNAcentral
GGGGAUACGGCUCAGUUGGUAGAGUACCUGCCUAGCAUACACAAGUUCCUGGGUUCAAUUCCCAGCACCACCA